AGCUGCUCUGCUUCUUCAAGAUCUUUAAAUUUGGGUUUCCCCACAGCCAGACCUUUCUCAAACUGCUUAGCUUUUUUUUCCUAGUACACCCACAUAAUUACUCCAGCACAAAGAGUGGGCUUGUGAAGCAGCAGCAUUUUAAAAAACCACAAACUCUGAUCUCAAGGCAAUCUUUCCCUCCCACUUCCUCCCCCUUCAAGCAGGGGUGUCAGCCGUGCUGUUUCUUUCAAACUUUCUCUGAGUCAUCUCAUCAGGCAGCUUGUAAAUACUUGAAUGCAUCCAUCAAUGUCAAGUCAAAGGAUGCAGAGAAUUUAGGGGUGACCUUAUCUUCCUGUAUUAUCAGCAUACAUACAGACAUGUCAUCAAAGAUGUUGUCUCAUCAUGAGAACAAGACACCAGAAAUAAGGAAAAGCUAUCACAUCUCAUUAUGUAGAUUCUGCUCACUAAGUGGGAAUAAUUGGCUACUGGAAUGACACUACUUUAG
This 484-nucleotide long non-coding RNA is filed under the name Junco hyemalis (dark-eyed junco). RNAcentral's name for it is "lncRNA (ENSJHYG00000013293.1)". The record is from RNAcentral. Lineage: Eukaryota; Metazoa; Chordata; Aves; Passeriformes; Passerellidae.